RNAcentral lists this small RNA (197 nucleotides) under Chrysemys picta bellii (western painted turtle). RNAcentral's name for it is "TUC338 (ENSCPBG00000007779.1)". Lineage: Eukaryota; Metazoa; Chordata; Testudines; Emydidae. The record is from RNAcentral.
AUUUAGCACUAAUGAUUGAUAGUGCCAGAUUCACAGCACAGGGAAAGUAAGUGCACUGUUCUACAGAACACCACAUGGUGGGACAAACUGCUCUUCCCCUGACUGCUCUACCAGUGUGCCUCAACCCUCACCUUGAAGGACCACCAUCUCAAGGAAUGAGGGUAAUUCAGUCUCUAUUGACAGAGCCCUUCCCUGCU